GUGCAACAGUUGUUCUACCAAGAGCAUAGCUGUGUAGCCAAGUUCGGAAUGGAUAAACGCUGAGAGCAUCUAAGUGUGAAGCCAACUCCAAGAUAAGAUAUCCCAUACCGUUAAGGUAGUAAGAUUCCAUGAAGACUACGUGGUUGAUAGGUUGGGGGUGUAAGUGAAGCGAUUCACUGAGCUGACCAAUACUAAUAAAUCGAGGGCUUAACCAUAAAA
Molecule: ribosomal RNA, 219 nt
Filed under: Clostridiales bacterium
Lineage: Bacteria; Bacillati; Bacillota; Clostridia; Eubacteriales
Description: partial 23S ribosomal RNA
Rfam family: Bacterial large subunit ribosomal RNA
Source: RNAcentral